RNAcentral lists this ribosomal RNA (253 nucleotides) under uncultured bacterium. Its description in RNAcentral is "partial 16S ribosomal RNA". It matches the Rfam family "Bacterial small subunit ribosomal RNA", at positions 524 to 776 of the family's 1533-position model. The record is from RNAcentral.
UACGUAGGGGGCAAGCGUUGUCCGGAAUUAUUGGGCGUAAAGAGCGUGUAGGCGGUCCGGUAAGUCAGCUGUGAAAGUCAAGGGCUCAACCCUUGAAAGCCGGUUGAUACUGUCGGGCUAGAGUCCGGAAGAGGCGAGUGGAAUUCCCGGUGUAGCGGUGAAAUGCGCAGAUAUCGGGAGGAACACCAAUGGCGAAGGCAGGUCUCUGGGCCGAAACUGACGCUGAGGAGCGAAAGCGUGGGGAGCGAACAGG